GUCCACGCCGUAAACGGUGGAUGCUGGAUGUGGGGCCCUUUUCCGGGUCCUGUGUCGGAGCUAACGCGUUAAGCAUCCCGCCUGGGGAGUACGGCCGCAAGGCUAAAACUCAAAGAAAUUGACGGGGCCCGCACAAGCGGCGGAGCAUGCGGAUUAAUUCGAUGCAACGCGAAGAACCUUACCUGGGCUUGACAUGUGCCUGACGAUCCCGGAGACGGGGGUUUCCCUUCGGGGCGGGUUCACAGGUGGUGCAUGGUCGUCGU
RNAcentral lists this ribosomal RNA (263 nucleotides) under uncultured bacterium. RNAcentral describes it as "partial 16S ribosomal RNA". It matches the Rfam family "Bacterial small subunit ribosomal RNA", at positions 793 to 1055 of the family's 1533-position model. The record is from RNAcentral.